UCACAACUCACACUGUCUGCACUCCCUCUUUUUCUUUCAAGACAAAACACACAAGACUAACAUAACUCACUCCUUUCUAUCUAUCGGCUCUCUCCACUUCUCCCCUCAACUCACAGACACUAAAAAAGAAUUCUCAGUCAACUUUCGGCCUCUCCUCUCUUUCUCAAUUUCUCACACACUACACACAUUCUCCUCAACUCCCCCAAAAAUCUCUCGGUCUCUCUCUCAAUAACACACAACAAUCAUACACACAUACAACUCCCUAUCUCAGCUCUCUUGCUCUCUCUCUCUCAAAAAAAAAAAAAAAGGGCAGAAGAACAAGGAAGAUUUGUUACUGCUGUUGAAGUCGCCAGUGUCGGAGUAUGGUCACGGGCUUCUUCAAUAAAUUUGCACACUAGAAUUCAAAGGCUAUUAAGCCAGUUAAGUGGGUCCUGUUGAAUAUGACAAUACAGAGUCGCACCAGCAAGCUGCUCGGUAUCCUCGCACAAAUAAGUUAAAAAAGCAUGCAGGAAAUUUAUGCUAAAACUAACCUCAUACGUCAACAUUUUCAGCCUGGCCAGAUGUCAGAAAGCAAAGGUGAACCGAAGGAAAGAACAGAUGUUGUUGAUACUGGUCCUGUUGAAUAUGACAAUACAGAGUCGCAUCAGCAAGCUGCUCAGUAUCCUCGCCCAAAUAAGUUAAAAAGCAUGCAGGAAAUUUAUGCUAAAACUAACCUCAUAUGUCAACAUUUUCAGCCUGGCCAGAUGUCAGAAAGUAGAGGUGAACCCAAGGAAAGAACAGAUGUUGUUGAUACUGAUCAUGAAGAAGGUGUGACCUCCAGACACCAAGAAAGAACCAAAUCAAGUCACGUCGCCAUUCAACGAGAAAUAGAAAAAGCAAAGCUUUAACUGAUACAACUGAUUCUGAUGUUAGCCCCCACUCCAAGUUUGUGGGAAACUUCAGGGACCAGUAGAGUCUGAUAAUUUGAGUGCUGAAGAAGAAAUUAAAAUUGUUGGAGAGUCUUUAUUGAGGACGACAGCAAUGCCUAUCCUCUUCGAACUAGAAGCAGGAGAAGCAGAAGAAUGGUCAAUAGAAGUGGUUCUGAAGUUACCAUUCCAAGAAAAAGAGUUCGACGGCAACCAAGGAGACCCCUGAAUUUCAGCACUUCAAUCACAUCGGAAGGAGUUUUAAGCUCCAGGCAAUUUUAUCGCUACAUGGACCACAUAUGGAGUGAGGUUUCUGCAGAGAAGAGAAACUCAAUUGCAUGCAUGGAUUGCUUGUGGUUUAACACAUACGCGGAAAGUAAAUGGAAAAAAGGUGUUAAAAUGGAUAGAGAGGGAAGAUAUAUUUUCAAAAAAAUAUGUUCUGGUUCCCAUUGU
Non-coding RNA from Coffea arabica (coffee), 1358 nucleotides. The record is from RefSeq and is a predicted model, not a curated record. Lineage: Eukaryota; Viridiplantae; Streptophyta; Magnoliopsida; Gentianales; Rubiaceae.